Molecule: non-coding RNA, 1636 nt
Organism: Ceratotherium simum simum (southern white rhinoceros)
Lineage: Eukaryota; Metazoa; Chordata; Mammalia; Perissodactyla; Rhinocerotidae
Source: RefSeq, a predicted model, not a curated record
AGACCGUGCUUAUCGUAAGAAAAAUAGUACAGAAGAGAAAAAUAUGGGGAAAAAAGGAGCCCCUUUGCAAUUUUUCUCUAACUCCAAUUUCACUUUCUGAAAAGUAACCACUGUAUGCAGUUGUCAGAGUCUUCAUAAAUUUUCUAAGCAUAUUCAAGUGCAUGCACUUUUUUUUUGCUCGUAACGUUAAGAGAAUUGGGGGCACUACAAUAUAUCCUGAAGACACGACAGCCCUCAGACCCACAGCCUUGUUUCUAAAGACUUCUAGCAUUGCACCAUACUGAACCUGUCCCCUACCGGCCAACAUUUCAGGUAACUCAAGGAUUUUGCUGUUUAACAUAUAUACUCUUUGGCAUGUGUCCAAGUAUACUCAUGGGAUACAUUUAUAGAAAUGGAAUUUCUCGGUCAGAGGAUAUGUGCAUUUUUAAUUUCUACAGAUACUGCCCAGUGCUCUUCAAAAAGGUUGUAUCAUUCACCCGCCCAUCAAUAAUGCACGUGGCAGGGUAUCUGUUCCCAGCACCCUUGCCCACCCUGGCAAGGAUGCAGUGUGUCAGAGGAAGCAAAUCCUAAAUGAGGUAAGUGGACUUUUCAUGUGGGCCUGGCUGGGGGUGGACAUGGCCUCCGAGGUUAUCCCUGUAGCUGUCUGAGGCGAUAAGCUGUCCAGAGUUCUCACUAGUUUGGGUUUUAUAAACAAAGACAGGAUUUGGGGAGGUGAGCCAGAACCAUGCAGCGAGAAGCAUUGUGCAACUCAGUAUUUAUUUUUUUAGUACAGUUAGAACUUAAAUAUGGUCAAAACAUAUUCUUCUUUUAAUUUACACAAACAAAUAUGUUCCCAGGCUGACACCUCGGGUGCCAAGUUUCUAGGGGAAAUGAAAUUCUACUGCGAGAUUAAACCACUAGAGAGAAGAUGGAAAUGGGAAAGCCACCGUGAGUUAGCUUUACACGUCCAGAGCUGGGCUGCUGAGAGGUGUCUCUUUCUGUCUUAGCUGCAGAGAAACCUGCCAGUAAUUUCAGCAAACGAAACGUGCAACGCAUCAAGGCCAGAGGAUGGAGAACACUCCAGUUUUGACAAAAGGAGGUCUGCUCAGCUUGGCAUCCUCCCUCCUGCGAGGCAGGAGAUGCAAAGAUAUAUCCAGAGGGGAUGAUGAAUUGAGAGAAAAGAAACGAGACCAAUCCCCUGACUCAGCAGUGACACAUGAAUGACACUCAAUAAAUAGUCAUCGAAUGGACCAACCAACGCCACCAUCACCUCCACCCGGGCCUCCAACUGAAAUCGCGGAAACCCUUUAUAGCCACCCUGACCUCCAGUUCCCAUUUCAGACAGGCUGGUAUCCAUGAUGUCACAUGAUAGAUCAUUCCAGAAAAAGACUGGCCGAGAGGAGGGAGAUAGGGCAGCCAGGGUUGGGUGUGUUUUUUCUUUAAUUAUUAUACCUGUUCUGUCCACUCUUUCUUGGCUCUGUUCACAUCCUUACGCCAGUACCAGCUCAGGGGAAAAACGAAACAAAACAUUAGCCCCAGAGUUGGAGACGAUAGCUGGCUGGUUCCCUCUUGGCUUGUAAUUAAUGCUGAAAAUGUUCAUGACUUGCCUUGGCCGCAAAGGUAAUAAUAAAACUCUGAAGCCUGAUUAUUUGGCUAC